Molecule: unclassified non-coding RNA, 170 nt
Filed under: soil metagenome
Description: partial contains 5.8S ribosomal RNA, internal transcribed spacer 2, and large subunit ribosomal RNA
Source: RNAcentral
AACACUGUUAACCUGCGGUACCUGCGGAAGGAUCAUUAAAGAUUGACCGAAAGGUCUUAUCUCUAUAUCCCUCACCUCUGUGAACUGUGGACCUCCGGGUCUAUUUAACAAACAUCAGUGUAAUGAACGUAUAUAUCAUUAAACAAAACAAAACUUUCAACAAUGGAUCU